Long non-coding RNA from Gopherus flavomarginatus (Mexican gopher tortoise), 611 nucleotides. RefSeq lists it as uncharacterized. The transcript is spliced from 3 exons. The record is from RefSeq and is a predicted model, not a curated record. NCBI's taxonomy places the organism in Eukaryota, Metazoa, Chordata, Testudines, Testudinidae.
CCCAUAAUACCUUAGCAAUUGAGCUUCCUUUUAACACUCAAACAUAUAAUAUCGCUUCGCACAUGUAGCUCCAGACUUCUUCUACUUGUCCAGUUCUAUUCCGCCUCAACAAUCUACUAUUCAUUGAACAUUUUGAGACUUUGCACUUUUAGAGAGAGGCUUUUCCAGAAGAACUAUACAGAAGGCAUGGCAGUAUCAACCCUCCUCUCCCUCCAUCCAUCCUUCAUUAAAAAAAUGUGAUUUAAGUUACAAAAUCAAGCACUUGAAAGCUAGGAAGUCCCAGAUUCAUGGUUGCCUGUGCAACCAAUCUGUGCACUGAAAAUAAGGCGGGAAUCCUAUAGAAAAAAUAGCAAGUAAAUAUGUCAUUAAAGAAUGUAUCACAAUGCAGAUGCACAUCAAUAUAAGCCUCAAUUUAAGCAUUUCUAAAACAAUUGUUCCUAAAAAUUCUUUACUAGCAGUUACAAAAUGUAACUUCAUCAAAAGGAUACAUUUUAAAUUCCUUUUUUUAUUAUUAUUAAUUGUAGAAUAGUUUUAGGAUAAGCAGCAAUCAGCAAAAGACAAGAGGAGAGUAAAUUGGGGUUUUUUGGUUUUGUUUUGUUUUUGUUUUUACC